CACACACAAAAAUAGGGAAAUGAUAGCACUCCAAGGUCUAACAUAGAGUAAAAGAGAAAAAGUAACUUUUAUUCAGGUUGAUGGCGGGUAUAAAAAUGUUGACGUUUCAGUUCAAGAUUCUGAACUUUUUUCAAGACAAUCAUAGAAGCGUACAUAUUACAUUUAUAUAGGGAUACGUUAUUAAGCACCACCCACAUGGGUACUCACCCCCUGAACUCUGGCUUGCUGCACGCGAUUCGCGGCUAGGUUGGACUCCCUGCACUAACUAUGUGCGUUCCAGUGAUCACCAUGGUAGCCAGCUGGAACGCAGUGUCGGGAGCCAGGGCACAUCAGUGUAUCAAGCAGUACUGGGUCAGGUUUUCCCGCAAAUCGCUGACAGCUGCGGGCAGCAAGUCAGAGUUCAGGGGGUGAGUACCCAUGUGGAUGGUGUUUAAUAAUUAAUGUAUCCACUUGAAAAGGGGAGUUUGUCACACUGUCCACUCACUUUCCUUCGUUCCUCAGAGAGACAUGGAAUUCAGACUACAAUUCUGUCACAUCAUUGAGGGCCACAUGCAGGGCCGGACUGGCCCACCGGGAUAUUUCCCGGUGGACCGCGGCACCUGGGGGCCGGCCGCGUUCCUGGCUGGAGCCGCCGGGCCGGGUGGCAGCUUCCCUGGUCCGGCGGCACUCCUCUCACUGCUGUGGCUGAUGGAGGAGGAGCCUGUCUCCUUUACCAUGCUCCCUCGCGGUUCCUGUGCCGGCUUCUCCUCCAUCAGCCACAGCAAUGACAGGAGCUGUCUGGGCCGGCGCGCGAGGGAGCACUCUCCCCGGAGUGCUUC
Pelobates cultripes (western spadefoot toad) is the source of this 818-nucleotide non-coding RNA. The record is from the annotation of a GenBank genome assembly. Lineage: Eukaryota; Metazoa; Chordata; Amphibia; Anura; Pelobatidae.